CCUACGGGGGGCUGCAGUGGGGAAUAUUGGACAAUGGGGGCAACCCUGAUCCAGCCAUGCCGCGUGUGUGAAGAAGGCCCUCGGGUUGUAAAGCACUUUCAGUGAGGAAGAACGCCUGGUGGUUAAUACCCAUCAGGAAAGACAUCACUCACAGAAGAAGCACCGGCUAACUCCGUGCCAGCAGCCGCGGUAAUACGGAGGGUGCGAGCGUUAAUCGGAAUUACUGGGCGUAAAGCGCGCGUAGGUGGCUUGAUAAGCCGGUUGUGAAAGCCCCGGGCUCAACCUGGGAACGGCAUCCGGAACUGUCAAGCUAGAGUGCAGGAGAGGAAGGUAGAAUUCCCGGGGUAGCGGUGAAAUGCGUAGAGAUCGGGAGGAAUACCAGUGGCGAAGGCGGCCUUCUGGACUGACACUGACACUGAGGUGCGAAAGCGUGGGUAGCAAACAGGAUUAGAUACCCUUGUAGUC
RNAcentral lists this ribosomal RNA (465 nucleotides) under Vreelandella stevensii. RNAcentral describes it as "partial 16S ribosomal RNA". It matches the Rfam family "Bacterial small subunit ribosomal RNA", at positions 338 to 795 of the family's 1533-position model. Lineage: Bacteria; Pseudomonadati; Pseudomonadota; Gammaproteobacteria; Oceanospirillales; Halomonadaceae. The record is from RNAcentral.